GCGGGGAUAGCUCAGCUGGGAGAGCGUCAGACUGAAGUUCACUUCAUUCUUAAAUCUGAAGGCCGUGCGUUCGAUCCGCACUCACCGCA
Molecule: transfer RNA, 89 nt
Filed under: Daldinia loculata
Lineage: Eukaryota; Fungi; Ascomycota; Sordariomycetes; Xylariales; Hypoxylaceae
Description: tRNA-Phe
Rfam family: tRNA
About the family: Transfer RNA (tRNA) molecules are approximately 80 nucleotides in length.
Source: RNAcentral